This 253-nucleotide ribosomal RNA is filed under the name uncultured bacterium. RNAcentral describes it as "partial 16S ribosomal RNA". It matches the Rfam family "Bacterial small subunit ribosomal RNA", at positions 524 to 776 of the family's 1533-position model. The record is from RNAcentral.
UACGUAGGGGGCAAGCGUUGUCCGGAAUCAUUGGGCGUAAAGAGCGUGUAGGCGGCUUCGUCAGUCCGUUGUGAAAGUCCAGGGCUCAACCCUGGAAUGCCGAUGGAUACUGCGGAGCUAGAGUCCGGAAGAGGCGAGUGGAACUCCUGGUGUAGCGGUGAAAUGCGCAGAUAUCAGGAGGAACACCUAUGGCGAAGGCAGCUCGCUGGGACGGCACUGACGCUGAGACGCGAAAGCGUGGGGAGCAAACAGG